UAAUGUUGGUGAUGAGGAUCUAAUGGAUCUCUUUAGAGAUUGCUAGGACUCCUUUUCAUUGUCGACUCAUCUUGGAUUCAUGUCUCUUAACUUUUGGGUAUCUCAAAUCUUUAGUGAUUGGCUCAUGAAAAACUAUAAUGCAAGGCAUGACCUUCUAUCUUUGGUUGGUAUCUGGUAGGUAUGGAGGUGGAGAAAUAAUUUCAUUCUAGGCGAUUCCUCUUGGACUGUAAAUUUUGUGGCUCGCUUUAUGCACCAGGAUCUGUGGGAGUGGCAUAACUAUGGGUGUUCCCUGUCAUUCGAGGGGACUCUCCCGUUGACCCGUUGGAGUCACCCGGUUUGGGGUAGGUCAAGCUGAAUAUUAAUAGUAGUUGCAUCAGAAACUCAUGUAUUAUGGGAGGAGGUGGUGUCCUUUGUGACAAUUUAAGAAAUUGGUCGUCUGGUUUUUCUGCAAACUUUGAUGUUGGGUCACCUAUUUUAGUGGAGCUUUUGGCCAUGGAGCAGGAGUUGUCUUUGGCUUAGAGCCUUGGUUUCAGGAGUGUGACUCUAGAGAGUGACUGCCUCGAAGCUGUUCAAAUUAUUUCUGAGCAAACUCAGAUUAGGGGAUUGCUCACAUUUUAGUUGUGGUUAACAGUGUUAGAUCCUGGUUAGCUCAUCCUUGGGUCAUCACAAUAUCUUUUGUGUGUAGAGAGACUAAUAUGGUGGCUGACUUUAUGGCGAGGCAAGACUCUCACUCAUUGGCUGAGUUAAGUUCUGGGACUCCCCCAGCUGAUUGUCAACCUUUAUUGUUUCUUGAUCUCAAUUUGUAUCCUUAGUUUUGUUUCUUAUAUUCCAAUGUACCAAAAAAUCCAAAAGAAACGACAAGAAGCAAAAUCAUUGUAUUUAUAAAUAAAAGAGAGAUCGAUUACUUAACCCA
This 913-nucleotide long non-coding RNA is filed under the name Lupinus angustifolius (narrow-leaved blue lupine). RNAcentral describes it as "long non-coding RNA (LANG_LNC002361)". Lineage: Eukaryota; Viridiplantae; Streptophyta; Magnoliopsida; Fabales; Fabaceae. The record is from RNAcentral.